This 466-nucleotide ribosomal RNA is filed under the name uncultured bacterium. Its description in RNAcentral is "partial 16S ribosomal RNA". It matches the Rfam family "Bacterial small subunit ribosomal RNA", at positions 28 to 507 of the family's 1533-position model. The record is from RNAcentral.
GAUGAACGCUGGCGGCGUGCUUAACACAUGCAAGUCGAACGGAAAGGCCCUUGCUUGCAGGGGUACUCGAGUGGCGAACGGGUGAGUAACACGUGGGUGAUCUGCCCUGCACUUCGGGAUAAGCCUGGGAAACUGGGUCUAAUACCGGAUAGGACCAUCGUUUAGUGUCGGUGGUGGAAAGUUUUUUCGGGGUGGGAUGAGCUCGCGGCCUAUCAGCUUGUUGGGGGGGUAAUGGCCUACCAAGGCGUCGACGGGUAGCCGGCCUGAGAGGGGGUACGGGCACAUUGGGCCUGAGAUACGGCCCAGACUGCUACAGGGGGCAGCAGUGGGGAGUAUUGCACAAUGGGCGCGAGCCGGAUGCAGCGGCGCCCCGUGGGGGAUGACGGCCUUCGGGUUGAAAACACCUUCCGUCAGAGACGAAGCGAAAGUGACGGUACCUGGAGAAGAAGCACCGGCUAACUACGUG